UGGGGAAUUUUGGACAAUGGGGGAAACCCUGAUCCAGCCAUCCCGCGUGUGCGAUGAAGGCCUUCGGGUUGUAAAGCACUUUUGGCAGGAAAGAAACGUCAUGGGUUAAUACCCCGUGAAACUGACGGUACCUGCAGAAUAAGCACCGGCUAACUACGUGCCAGCAGCCGCGGUAAUACGUAGGGUGCAAGCGUUAAUCGGAAUUACUGGGCGUAAAGCGUGCGCAGGCGGUUCGGAAAGAAAGAUGUGAAAUCCCAGAGCUCAACUUUGGAACUGCAUUUUUAACUACCGGGCUAGAGUGUGUCAGAGGGAGGUGGAAUUCCGCGUGUAGCAGUGAAAUGCGUAGAUAUGCGGAGGAACACCGAUGGCGAAGGCAGCAUCCUGGGAUAACACUGACGAUCAUGCACGAAAGCGUGGGGAGCAAACAGG
RNAcentral lists this ribosomal RNA (429 nucleotides) under Acidobacteriota bacterium. RNAcentral's name for it is "Acidobacteria bacterium partial 16S ribosomal RNA". It matches the Rfam family "Bacterial small subunit ribosomal RNA", at positions 355 to 776 of the family's 1533-position model. The record is from RNAcentral. Lineage: Bacteria; Pseudomonadati; Acidobacteriota.